This 519-nucleotide ribosomal RNA is filed under the name Microbacterium sp. RNAcentral describes it as "bacterial SSU rRNA". It matches the Rfam family "Bacterial small subunit ribosomal RNA", at positions 803 to 1320 of the family's 1533-position model. Lineage: Bacteria; Bacillati; Actinomycetota; Actinomycetes; Micrococcales; Microbacteriaceae. The record is from RNAcentral.
UAAACGUUGGGAACUAGUUGUGGGGUCCAUUCCACGGAUUCCGUGACGCAGCUAACGCAUUAAGUUCCCCGCCUGGGGAGUACGGCCGCAAGGCUAAAACUCAAAGGAAUUGACGGGGACCCGCACAAGCGGCGGAGCAUGCGGAUUAAUUCGAUGCAACGCGAAGAACCUUACCAAGGCUUGACAUAUACGAGAACGGGCCAGAAAUGGUCAACUCUUUGGACACUCGUAAACAGGUGGUGCAUGGUUGUCGUCAGCUCGUGUCGUGAGAUGUUGGGUUAAGUCCCGCAACGAGCGCAACCCUCGUUCUAUGUUGCCAGCACGUAAUGGUGGGAACUCAUGGGAUACUGCCGGGGUCAACUCGGAGGAAGGUGGGGAUGACGUCAAAUCAUCAUGCCCCUUAUGUCUUGGGCUUCACGCAUGCUACAAUGGCCGGUACAAAGGGCUGCAAUACCGCGAGGUGGAGCGAAUCCCAAAAAGCCGGUCCCAGUUCGGAUUGAGGUCUGCAACUCGACCUCA